UGUGUUCCUCAGGGGCCUGCGCUGC
Molecule: non-coding RNA, 25 nt
Filed under: Mus musculus (house mouse)
Lineage: Eukaryota; Metazoa; Chordata; Mammalia; Rodentia; Muridae
Source: RNAcentral